This 374-nucleotide ribosomal RNA is filed under the name uncultured bacterium. Its description in RNAcentral is "bacterial SSU rRNA". It matches the Rfam family "Bacterial small subunit ribosomal RNA", at positions 28 to 435 of the family's 1533-position model. The record is from RNAcentral.
GAUGAACGCUGGCGGCGUGCUUAACACAUGCAAGUCGAACGAACCUUCGGGUUAGUGGCGGACGGGUGAGUAACGCGUGAGAAUCUGCCCUCAGGAGGGGGACAACAGCUGGAAACGGCUGCUAAUACCCCAUAUGCCGCGAGGUGAAAUGAAUUUCGCCUGAGGAUGAGCUCGCGUCUGAUUAGCUAGUUGGUGUAGGUAAUGGCUCACCAAGGCAUCGAUCAGUAGCUGGUCUGAGAGGAUGAUCAGCCACACUGGGACUGAGACACGGCCCAGACUCCUACGGGAGGCAGCAGUGGGGAAUUUUCCGCAAUGGGCGAAAGCCUGACGGAGCAACGCCGCCAGCGUUCAUCCUGAGCCAGGAUCAAACUCUU